Molecule: long non-coding RNA, 539 nt
Filed under: Zostera marina
Lineage: Eukaryota; Viridiplantae; Streptophyta; Magnoliopsida; Alismatales; Zosteraceae
Description: long non-coding RNA (ZMAR_LNC004642)
Source: RNAcentral
UUGAUUAUAAUUAAUAUAAAUAAGGCUGUAAAUAAUGUUAUUUUAUUCCAAUGAAAUAAUAUUUUUUUCUCCACUUUGAUUCGUCACACAACGAUGGCAAUUCCCCCCCAAAUCUGACCGUCGUCCGCUCUGGCAGUUCGAUUCGACCAUCGUCGAUUAUCCAUCCAUGCAGGAAUUUAACAACACUAACCAAGGUGAUUGAUAUGAGGCUGUUCAAUUAUUCUGAAGUUGAGAAAGACAUUUGAUGCUUUGGAAAUUAAGAACCCUAGAAAUGGAUUUGGGAUCGAGAAGGCGAUGAUUCAAGGACGUUGGAGGCAAGCAAACCCUAUUCAAGAAGAACCGGUAGAAAUCAUUGGAUGCGAUGAUACUCAGCUUCAGAUGCCAUUAGUAUCAAGAUUAAUCCCAACAUUAAUCUUCUUCAGAUUUGCCCUAGUAAUGGGUGGUACAUCAACUUAUUACAUGUUGAUCAUCGAAACGCUUUUUUCUAGUAGUGUCAUCCCUCUUUAUAUCAUAAAAAAAAUAUUCAAAAGAAAUGCGAA